UGAAUACGAGACGCUAAGGCGUCGAAGUAGUGUAUAUCAGACUUCCAAGAAAAGCUUGCACUGUCAUAGAUAAAAAAUGCCUGUACCAUAACCGACACAGGUGGGUAGGUAGAGUAUACUAAGGGGCGCGAGAUAACUCUCUCUAAGGAACUCGGCAAAAUAACUCCGUAACUUCGGGAGAAGGAGUGCCUUAUUUAUAAGGUUGCAAUAACAAGAUCCAAGCAACUGUUUAUCAAAAACACAGGUCUCCGCUAAGUCGUAAGACGAUGUAUGGGGGCUGACGCCUGCCCAGUGCCAGAAGGUUAAAGAAGUUGGUUAGCAAUUGCGAAGCUGAUAACUGAAGCCCUGGUGAACGGCGGCCGUAACGAUAACGGUCCUAAGGUAGCGAAAUUCCUUGUCGGGUAAGUUCCGACCCGCACGAAAGGCGUAAUGAUUUGGAUACUGUCUCGGAGAGGGGCUCGGUGAAAUAGACUUGUCUGUGAAUAUGCGGACUACCUGCACCAGGACAGAAAGACCCUAUGAAGCUUUACUGUAACUUGAAAUUGAAAUUGGACUUUAUUCGCGCAGCAUAGGUGGGAGGCGUUGAUUAUAAUCUUGCGGGAUUAUUGGAGCCAUCAGUGAGAUACCACUCUUGUAAUGUUAGAUUUCUAACUUUGAAUCAUUAUCUGGUCAAAGAACAGUUUCAGGCGGGCAGUUUGACUGGGGCGGUCGCCUCCUAAAUGGUAACGGAGGCGUACAAAGGUUUCCUCUGAACGGUUAGAAAUCGUAUCUAGAGUGUAAAGGCAUAAGGAAGCUUGACUGUGAGACCUACAAGUCGAGCAGGGACGAAAGUCGGUCUUAGUGAUCUGACGGUACUGAGUGGAAAGGCCGUCACUCAACGGAUAAAAGUUACUCUAGGAUAACAGGCUGAUCUCCCCCAAGAGUUCACAUCGACGGGGAGGUUUGGCACCUCGAUGUCGGCUCAUCGCAUCCUGGGGCGGUAGUACGUCCCAAGGGUUGGGCUGUUCGCCCAUGAAAGCGGUACGCGAGCUGGGUUCAGAACGUCGUGAGACAGUUCGGUCCAUAUCCGGUGUAGGCGUUAGAAUAUUGAGAGGAGCCUUCUUUAGUACGAGAGGACCGAGAAGGACAUACCUCUGGUGUACCAGUUAUCGUGCCAACGGUAAACGCUGGGUAGCUAUGUAUGGAGUGGAUAACCGCUGAAAGCAUCUAAGUGGGAAGCCCACCUCAAGAUAAGUAUUCUCU
Molecule: ribosomal RNA, 1242 nt
Filed under: metagenome
Description: bacterial LSU rRNA
Rfam family: Bacterial large subunit ribosomal RNA
Source: RNAcentral